UGGCCAAUUCCUGACUUACCUGGGCAA
RNAcentral lists this non-coding RNA (27 nucleotides) under Mus musculus (house mouse). The record is from RNAcentral. Lineage: Eukaryota; Metazoa; Chordata; Mammalia; Rodentia; Muridae.